This 253-nucleotide ribosomal RNA is filed under the name uncultured bacterium. RNAcentral's name for it is "partial 16S ribosomal RNA". It matches the Rfam family "Bacterial small subunit ribosomal RNA", at positions 524 to 776 of the family's 1533-position model. The record is from RNAcentral.
GACGGAGGGUGCUAGCGUUGUUCGGAAUUACUGGGCGUAAAGGGCGUGUAGGCGGCCAACUAAGUCCGACGUGAAAUCCCCAGGCUUAACCUGGGAACUGCGUCGGAUACUGGAUGGCUUGAAUCCGGGAGAGGGAUGCGGAAUUCCAGGUGUAGCGGUGAAAUGCGUAGAUAUCUGGAGGAACACCGGUGGCGAAGGCGGCAUCCUGGACCGGCAUUGACGCUAAAGCGCGAAAGCCAGGGGAGCAAACGGG